CAGCCGCCGCGGGAAUACGGAGGGUGCAAGCGUUAAUCGGAAUUACUGGGCGUAAAGCGCACGCAGGCGGUCUGUCAAGUCGGAUGUGAAAUCCCCGGGCUCAACCUGAGAACUGCAUUCGAAACUGGCAGGCUAGAGUCUUGUAGAGGGGGGUAGAAUUCCAGGUGUAGCGGUGAAAUGCGUAGAGAUCUGGAGGAAUACCGGUGGCGAAGGCGGCCCCCUGGACAAAGACUGACGCUCAGGUGCGAAAGCGUGGGGAGCAAACAGGAUUAGAUACCCCUGUAGUCCCUGUCUCUUAUAC
RNAcentral lists this ribosomal RNA (301 nucleotides) under uncultured bacterium. RNAcentral describes it as "partial 16S ribosomal RNA". It matches the Rfam family "Bacterial small subunit ribosomal RNA", at positions 509 to 807 of the family's 1533-position model. The record is from RNAcentral.